RNAcentral lists this ribosomal RNA (525 nucleotides) under uncultured bacterium. RNAcentral's name for it is "bacterial LSU rRNA". It matches the Rfam family "Bacterial large subunit ribosomal RNA", at positions 16 to 509 of the family's 2925-position model. The record is from RNAcentral.
GGUAUAUGGUGGAUGCCUUGGAGCUGCGAGACGAAGAAGGCCGUGAUAAGCUGCGAAAAGCUAGGGGGAGGAGCACAUAUCCUUUGAUCCUUAGAUAGCCGAAUGGGGUAACCCGAUAGGAGCGAUUCUAUCAUUCCAAUGCCUGAAUAAAAUAGGGCAGGAAAGUCACACUGGGUGAACUGAACCAUCUAAGUAACCCGGGAAAAGAAAUCAAGAAGAGGAGCGAUCCUCCGGAGAUUCCGAAAGUAGCGGCGAGCGAAAUCGGAAGAGCCCAAACCCGUUUAACGGGGGUUGUAGGGCCGCAUGGGGUUUAUCCCGUGGAGUUGAGAAAAAAUCAAUAUAUAGCAGAACGGUUUUGGGAAAGCCGGCCACAGAGGGUGAAAGCCCCGUAAGCGACAUAUAUUGGUCUCCAUGAUGCGGUACCUGAGUACGGCGAGGCACGAGAAACCUUGUCGGAAUCCGGGUCGACCACGAUCCAAGGCUAAAUACUCCGCAGCUACCGAUAGUGCAGAAGUACCGUGAGGG